RNAcentral lists this ribosomal RNA (379 nucleotides) under uncultured eukaryote. RNAcentral describes it as "partial 18S ribosomal RNA". It matches the Rfam family "Eukaryotic small subunit ribosomal RNA", at positions 592 to 975 of the family's 1831-position model. The record is from RNAcentral.
CAAUAGCGUAUAUUAAAGUUGUUGCGGUUAAAAAGCUCGUAGUUGGAUUUCUGCUGAGAACGACCGGUCCGCCCUUUGGGUGUGUAUCUGGCUCUUUCUUGGCAUCUUCUUGGUGAACGUUGCUGCACUUGACUGUGUGGAGCGCUACCCAGGACCUUUACUUUGAGGAAAUUAGAGUGUUUCAAGCAGGCAUACGCCUUGAAUACAUUAGCAUGGAAUAAUAAGAUAGGACCUCGGUUCUAUUUUGUUGGUUUCUAGAGCUGAGGUAAUGAUUAAUAGGGAUAGUUGGGGGCAUUCGUAUUUAACUGUCAGAGGUGAAAUUCUUGGAUUUGUUAAAGACGGACUACUGCGAANGNAUUUGCNAAGGAUGUUUNCAUUG